Molecule: ribosomal RNA, 613 nt
Filed under: Aphelenchoides besseyi
Lineage: Eukaryota; Metazoa; Nematoda; Chromadorea; Rhabditida; Aphelenchoididae
Description: partial 28S ribosomal RNA
Rfam family: Eukaryotic large subunit ribosomal RNA
Source: RNAcentral
CUUGUGCGUAUUCAAUCCCGCGACACUGCAAUCGCUUCGACGACAUUCCGCAAGGUUGUCUAGGAGUGUUGUUGUUGUGCUCGUUGGAUGCAUUUGCGUGCGGAGUGCGCCGAGUGGGUCGAUGUCGCUGCCGGAAGGGCGUAUAGAGGACUCGGGUUUUCGGACUCGAGAAUCCUGUGCGUUCGGAUAGCAGGUGAUGUUGGCUCGCUGUUGUGGAGUGCGGGUGAAUUCGCGAUGGGCGUCGGUUGUGAGUUGUGGUUGCGGAUGGCACAUGUGUCUUCCGUUUCCGCGGCCUACGAUCGGCGUUCGUUGCCCCGGCACUCGACUCGGUGUAUAGUCGGUCACCCAUUCGACCCGUCUUGAAACACGGACCAAGGAGUUUAAGGUGUACGCGAGUCAUUGAGCUGCGAAACUCAAAGGCGUAAUGAAAGUGAGACAUUGGAUGUCGACGAUGUGAGCGUUGGGCGUUUCGACGUCCGGCGCGCAACAUCGCCCCGUGACUAGGACUUGUUCUGUUGCGGAGGUUGAGCGUACGCUUUGAGACCCGAAAGAUGGUGAACUAUGCCCGAACAGGAUGAAGCCAGAGGAAAUUCUGGUGGAAGUCGUACAAGUU